AAAAAAAAAAACAACAACAACAAGCUUUGGUUAGGGUUUUAAUUUUUUCUCUUCUUACCCAUUACACCAGCCGUCACUCUCUUUCUCCCUCACCCUUACCCUCACCCUCACGUUCGCCUCUCUCUCUCUCUCUCUCUCUCUCUCUCUCUCUCCCUGCCUCCCUCACCUGACCUUUCCGCCGCCGCCGCCACUUCCCACCCUAGCCAUCGCCGUGCUCUCCCCUUAUUCUCGACUCUCUCUCUCUCCCUCAUCCUCGCCUCUCACUCUCUCCCUCACCCUUGCCACUUUGCCGCCAGCCACCACUGCCGCCGCCCUACUCCUCUUCCCCUUUCCUCCUCUCAUGUCCACCUCCGCCGCUAGUCUCCUCCACCGCCAAUUUUCUAGUACCUCCUCUACCCUUUGUAAUUUUUAUUUUGUAUUUUUUGUUUUUGGGUUUUUAGUUCAAUAUAUAGAGUGUGGGUUUUCUGGAACCUCCUCUACCCAUCGGUGAGUUUUUUCUUUUUUUUUUUAAUUGUAGAAAUUUCAUAUAAAUACAUUACAAGAAAAUCAUUGAUUUGAAUUUCAUAUUUUUGUGAUUGAAUAUACUAUUGGGGUUUAGGUUGCAAUGUGAUUUUGAUUUGCAAGUUUUUUUCCCUAUUGGGUCUUGUGGUUAGUGCUUUGAUAUGGAUGUUUGGCUGUGGGAUUGGGGUUCAAAAAAAAUUGGGGUUUUUGUUUUUGGUUGAUUGUGAAUUCCAUAAGUAUUUUUUGAUUUGGGAUUUUCAGAGUUGGGUAUGUAUAUUUCUUGUGCUCAUUUGGCUAUAGGUUUGGGUUUGUGCUUGUGUUUGAAACGUGGGUUUUAUGUUGACCCAGAGGCGAAGCUCCUGUUUAUCAUUCGCAUUCGUGGUAUCAAUGCCAUGCACCAAAAGACUAGAAAGAUCUUGCAGCUCUUGCGUUUGAGAUAGGUAUUACAUGAAACUCACCCGUUAUGGUACUAUAAAAUGGCAUCUGGUUAUUGAUGUUUUUAUUUAUGUUUUUGUGUUGGUCAUGACGGUAAAUAUAUCCUUUUGAAGGCUAAGGCAGGUUCAGACUAUUUGCUUAUUGUACCGGGUAGUUUUAGUAAAAGUACUCGUUUUUAAAGCUAUUUAAGUUUAAGCUCCUUGGGUCAUAGUCUAGAAAUCUUUGAGGCGAAGCUCAAACAUCUAGUGUCAAGGUGUUUGGGUGUAAGCACCUUUUUUAUUUUGACCUUUUAGAACUUUAUAUAAGCAUUAAGUACACACUAUUUCUAGUAGGUUUACUGCUGAAUAGUUUGAAACUUGAAGCCCUUUGUUGUGAGUGUUAUGAAAAGCUAAUCUGAAACUAUGCCUGAUUCUUUUAUUCUGAAUGCUGGGACAUGCCUAAUUCUUUUAUUCUUUUAAUCUGAAACUAUGAUAAGCUAACUGACACUGAAUGCUGAAACUUGGCCCACGUAUUUAGUCAUCAAAGGUAAGUUUCAAUUGCAUUGAAUUCAGCCCAAUAUUUUAAAGAAAAUUAAACAGAGGCAUCAUCCGUGGCCGCCACCUUGCCUCCAUUAAUGACGAGUCACCUCUUGCUUUCUCCGCUGGAAACAUCACUCUCCUCAGUAAUUCUUUGGGAUUGUAUGAUCCUUAUUCCACUCCUCAAAUAAUCAUUCAAAUAUAUGUUUUUAGUUUAUAUAUAUAUAUAUAUAUUUUUUUUUUUUUGUGUGUGUUUUUUAGUGAGCUUUUGAUAUGAUAUUUUUUGGUUUUUAAAAUUUUUUUUUUUUUUUAUAUGUGAUAUUUUUGGUUCCUGAUAAGAGAAAGAGUUGUUUUUUAGUGGCCAGUUGUAUUAUUGUAAGUAAAAGUUAUAACUUUUUGUGGUCUCCCAGCCUAUCCAAAAAGACCCCAAAUGAUUUUUUUUUUUUUUUUUUUUUUUUUAAUUUUCCUGGGUGACCAAACUGUUUGUUUCAAUUCGGAGUGUACUGACUUUAUUAUUUUAUUUGGUUAAUUUAUUUAUUUAUUUUCUAUGUUUGUUGAUGUUUUAGUUUGCAUUAUGCUAAUGUUUCUUUGGGGAAUCCGAGUUUAUCAUUCUUGGUGGUGUUAGACACAGGCAGUGAUUUGUUCGGGAUACCAUGUGAUUGUCAGAAAAAUGGUUGCGUAAAGGCCUUAUAGUCAUCAUCUGGAGCGGGGUAUGUUGAGUUAAACACAAAUUCUUCAUAGCAGGGAUGGGUUCUGGACAUUGGUUUAAGAUGAUAAUUGGCUCAAAGAAAGGGAAGCGCAGCAGUUCAAAACAAGUAAAGGUCUACUUGCUUCUUUUGUAACUUGGAUCGGCCAAAUGCCACAGUUCGUUCUAGAGUCAGAAAUCCCAAAGGAAAAACUAGGAGUUUUUUACCCGACUUCGCGCAAUAAACUGUACCGAUUUGGCGAGAACUGGAAUGAGCGGGCUAGACCACCUUGAAGAACAAUAUCUUAGCUAAUUUUAAUUUGAAGGGCUCGACGAUAUCUACUUCGGAUCGGAAGAUAUGAGUUUUUCAAGGAAAAACAUCACAGAAUUUUUUAGUGCAGCAUCACCUUCCUUCCGAGCACAAUAUCUCAAUGAUUGUAGCUCCAAAUCAAAUAAGGCUAAAACUGUUAGAAACUAGACAUCCACAGCUUUCCAUGCAUAUAAAAUUUGAAGAAAAUAGAGCUCGAAAAUGCCUCCAAACAAUAACGUGAAGAUUGGGUCAGAAAUUAGAUAAAGUCGAAAAAGGGUUGAUGAGGUGGUAAAAAUGGGAGGCUAGCACUAGUGUAUCUUGAUACACUAAUGCUAGCUCCCAUUUCUUUUAUCUUGCUUAUUGUUCAAAGUUGCUUUAUUUUUACUAUGCUCUUGUACAUGUUGUGUCUAUCUCUUUAUUUCAAUGUUCAUAUUAUUAUUGUUGUUGGUUUAUAUUGUUGUGUUGUUUUCCUAGAUGGGUAUUGAACCAUCUCCUAGGCUAUGUAUGGGAAGUACCCUUAGAGGGAAGAAAUCCCAUCCCACCUAGGUGCAUCUAGGGAUUUUACUAUUAAUGCUUUUAUUUUGUCAUCUCAUUUACUUUCAAGCAAUCUCCACCCCCUUUUAUUUU
Long non-coding RNA from Quercus robur (English oak), 3073 nucleotides. RefSeq lists it as uncharacterized. The transcript has 5 exons. The record is from RefSeq and is a predicted model, not a curated record. Lineage: Eukaryota; Viridiplantae; Streptophyta; Magnoliopsida; Fagales; Fagaceae.